ACUAUAUAAUAAGCAUAAAUACAUUAAAUAAAGACAUUACAUCCAUACUAAAUGACAAAACACCCAGCCAAAUAUGCAUUUCUAACUGUCUAGAACCUGAUGCAUCAAGUUUGCUCUUCUCAUAAGUCAUAACCCAGAAGACACAAACAAAAAAACAGUGAAAGCACACACCACAGCUGAUGGCACAUCAUGGAGCUAGACAAACUAUUACUUUGAACUAUAAAAUUUCAUAGCAUAUUUAAUCUCAAAAUGAAAAAUUUUAAAAGAUAUCCGAACACAAACAGAACAUUCUAGCAUUAUCAAUAUUCAUAACAUCUAUCAGCAAUCAGAAAGUAUGUUAAAUGCUUUAAGAUCGAACAAUCAAAUAACGUAUGUUAAAGAAAUACCAAAGCAUAUUAAGAAACAAAAUAGAAGAUUGUUGCUAGUUAAAGAAUACAAUGCAUAUCUCGAAAUCUCCAAGAUAUAAAUUUUGGAAGCAUGUUUACCACUAGAAAGUACUUGGGCACCAAACUCAAAAAGUGAACCUGUCUUAUAAACAAAGGGAUUAACAUAUUAAUCAUCACUAAUGAUAUAAAAACCAUACUCAGAUGCUUUAUAUAGCUUGUCAUUAAAAGUAUUCAAAUCUUGGAGAGAGGCUUUAUGCAUCAUUACCCUAAACUUGAUCACCUCAUAAACAAAGCAAUGAACAACAAUUUUUACAUUUAACAUGCAAGAAAUUACCUCUGAAACAUAGA
RNAcentral lists this unclassified non-coding RNA (734 nucleotides) under Hevea brasiliensis (rubber tree). Lineage: Eukaryota; Viridiplantae; Streptophyta; Magnoliopsida; Malpighiales; Euphorbiaceae. The record is from RNAcentral.